ACCCCCUGGCGAUGGGCAAGGAGACACCUGAUUGGUGGUGUUGCUCUUAUAUCAAUCAGGGACAAAGCAGAUGUACAGUCCUUAGUUCAUCCUAGCUUGAUGCUUGUGUCGGUAGCCAGAGCUGUUUCAUGACUGAGGCACAUUA
Molecule: small nucleolar RNA, 145 nt
Organism: Myotis lucifugus (little brown bat)
Lineage: Eukaryota; Metazoa; Chordata; Mammalia; Chiroptera; Vespertilionidae
Source: Ensembl